This 340-nucleotide unclassified non-coding RNA is filed under the name soil metagenome. RNAcentral's name for it is "partial contains 5.8S ribosomal RNA, internal transcribed spacer 2, and large subunit ribosomal RNA". The stretch from base 1 to 120 matches the Rfam family "5.8S ribosomal RNA", at positions 35 to 154 of the family's 154-position model. The record is from RNAcentral.
GAUGAAGAACGCAGUGAAAUGCGAUAAGUAGUGUGAAUUGCAGAAUUCAGUGAAUCAUCGAAUCUUUGAACGCACAUUGCGCCCCUCGGUAUUCCGUGGGGCAUGCCUGUUCGAGCGUCAUUUAACCCCUCAAGCCUAGCUUGGUAUUGGGUGCUUGUCCCGCCUCUCGCGCGGCGACUCACCUCAAAGUCAUUGGCAGCCCGCAUCUCGCCGGCCGUGAGCGCAGCACAGACGCGCUCUUGGCAACGACGGAUCGGCUCUCCAAAAGCUUAUUUCAACCACUGACCUCGGAUCAGGUAGGGAUACCCGCUGAACUUAAGCAUAUCAAUAAGCGGGAGGA